CCCUGAAGUUAUGACUGAUGUUACUUCCUAACAAUAAUUGAUUGGUGUUUAAUGUAAUGGCACUUUCAACACUAUGUUUUUCGGGACGGUCAUUUUUUAUUGGUGGUGGGUCUAGAGUACCUGGGGAGAUCCACAGACUUUCACCCACAUUGCAACAGGGGAUAGGAUAUUACUUUUAACUUAAGAAUCUAAGUUUUAGAUCUUGCUUUGAACCACCAUGUUAAAACAAUUCCUGGAGACUUUUUUUGGAAGAC
This 254-nucleotide long non-coding RNA is filed under the name Mytilus galloprovincialis (Mediterranean mussel). Lineage: Eukaryota; Metazoa; Mollusca; Bivalvia; Mytilida; Mytilidae. The record is from RNAcentral.